Molecule: long non-coding RNA, 295 nt
Filed under: Homo sapiens (human)
Lineage: Eukaryota; Metazoa; Chordata; Mammalia; Primates; Hominidae
Description: HSALNT0361401
Source: RNAcentral
GGCUUAUUUUUAGAGUAAAUUCCUAGAAGUGGGAUUUCUGGAACAAAAGAGAUGGAGUCUAUCUAUGUCAUCUAGGCUGGUCUCAAGCUCCUAAGCUCAAGCAAUCCCUCCCGUCUCAGUCCUCCCUGCCCUGUCUCUUACCAGAGACUUCAGGAUAAACUCCAGGGAUUGAGUGCUGGUGUCAAAUAAACUUCAACAUGGGAAACAUCGGAAGAAUACAUUCUGCACUUCUUCCAGACUUGGAAAGAACUGGGGCCAAUUAAAAGUGAACUUUUAAGAGAAAUGAACAUCUUGC